RNAcentral lists this transfer RNA (61 nucleotides) under Dipodomys ordii (Ord's kangaroo rat). It matches the Rfam family "tRNA". Rfam says of the family: Transfer RNA (tRNA) molecules are approximately 80 nucleotides in length. Their secondary structure includes four short double-helical elements and three loops (D, anti-codon, and T loops). Lineage: Eukaryota; Metazoa; Chordata; Mammalia; Rodentia; Heteromyidae. The record is from Rfam by way of RNAcentral.
GGUGCUGUGGCUCAAGUGGUAGAGCGUUAGCCUUGAGCUGAAGAGUUGAGGGACAGCACCA